This is a long non-coding RNA of Panicum virgatum (switchgrass), 583 nucleotides long. RefSeq lists it as uncharacterized. The transcript is spliced from 3 exons. Lineage: Eukaryota; Viridiplantae; Streptophyta; Magnoliopsida; Poales; Poaceae. The record is from RefSeq and is a predicted model, not a curated record.
UCGGUCUUAACCAAGAUUGAACAACUAUUCGUAUCCUCUGCAAAUCAAAGAUCUCGUGCACUAAAUUGCUCAAUUCCUCAGAUUCACCCUAUGUCCUCGAAUAGUCACAGAUCCAUUCCUCUUCAUAUCUAUCUUUUCUGGAUCCUACCCGCAAAAAAAAAAUCUUUUCUGAAUCCAAUUAGUUUGCUUCUUUUUUCUAUGCACGGCAGCUAGUUAUUUCAGUAUUUGUAGAUUAAUUGAGUUGUUUAUCAUGUAAUUUCGGGUUUGCAAUUUUGUUCAGGCUGUAGAAUUUGGCGAAAUUUUUUGUGCCACAUGGGUUACGUUGGAAAGGAAAUUCUGAUCCCAUGUAUAUGUGCCUUUGUUGCUGCUGGCUGCUUAUAAUUAAAUCGGCUGCCACUCGGUGCUUUGUCUUCCACUAUGAUUUUUUACUUGACACAUGAUACGUCAUGGCCUGAAGGAUCGAUCCUCUGCCACCCACUCUAACCAACAAGCUUCAGGCGAGAAGCAGAUGGCAAACAAUCAGCAUGAAUCCCCCGACCUCUGCUUACUCUGAAUCAAGCACAGUCUCUGAAGCGCCCUCUGA